Hibiscus syriacus is the source of this 246-nucleotide long non-coding RNA. RefSeq lists it as uncharacterized. NCBI's taxonomy places the organism in Eukaryota, Viridiplantae, Streptophyta, Magnoliopsida, Malvales, Malvaceae. The transcript is spliced from 3 exons. The record is from RefSeq and is a predicted model, not a curated record.
AAAAGCAUACACAUUCUCACUUAAGGCCUUUCUUUUUGCCUCCCGCCCCUCGCAAUUUGUUUUGUCCUACAGGGCUUGGUUUCAAUUUACAAAGAAAACAGGAAAGCAAAGUAGUCAUUUGUGGAAUCCGUCUCAUCAGAUUCUCAUAGAUUUCCUUCGCAAGGUCCAGCAACCUAAAAGCUUAUCUCAAGACUCUAGCGAUGGACGAAAAUUUCAUGCAAGAGGGAGAUAUUCGGUUGGAUACUA